Molecule: ribosomal RNA, 240 nt
Filed under: Salmonella enterica subsp. enterica serovar Agona str. SA-5
Lineage: Bacteria; Pseudomonadati; Pseudomonadota; Gammaproteobacteria; Enterobacterales; Enterobacteriaceae
Description: partial 23S ribosomal RNA
Rfam family: Bacterial large subunit ribosomal RNA
Source: RNAcentral
CGGAGUGGACGCAUCACUGGUGUUCGGGUUGUCAUGCCAAUGGCACUGCCCGGUAGCUAAAUGCGGAAGAGAUAAGUGCUGAAAGCAUCUAAGCACGAAACUUGCCCCGAGAUGAGUUCUCCCUGAGACUUAGAGUCUCCUGAAGGAACGUUGAAGACGACGACGUUGAUAGGCCGGGUGUGUAAGCGCAGCGAUGCGUUGAGCUAACCGGUACUAAUGAACCGUGAGGCUUAACCUUAC